GACGAACGCUGGCGGCAUGCCUAACACAUGCAAGUCGAACGAAAACUUCGGGACUCGUGGCGCACGAGUUCGUAGCGCGGGGGGACCGGCCCAUAGGUUCGGAAUAACUCCCCGAGAGGGGGAUUAAUACGGGAAAAUGUCUUCGGACCAGAGAUAUAUCGCUUUUGGAUGGGCCAGCGUCGGAUUAGCUAGUUGGUAGGGUAAAAGCAGACCAAGGCGACGAUCAAUAGCUGGUCUGAGAGGAUCAGCAGCCACACCGGGACUGAGACACGGCACAGACUCCUACGGGAGGCAGCAGUGGGUAAUAGUGGAAAACGGGCGAAAGGAUGAACGAGCAAUGCCGCGUGAGUGAUGAAGGCCUUAGGGUAGUAAAGCUCGUUUAACCGGGAUGAUAAUGACAGUACCGGGAGAAUAAGCCCCGGCUAACUCCGUG
RNAcentral lists this ribosomal RNA (433 nucleotides) under uncultured bacterium. Its description in RNAcentral is "partial 16S ribosomal RNA". It matches the Rfam family "Bacterial small subunit ribosomal RNA", at positions 28 to 507 of the family's 1533-position model. The record is from RNAcentral.